UGGGGCGUCGCCAAGCGGUAAGGCACCGGUUUUUGGUACCGGCAUUCGCAGGUUCGAAUCCUGCCGCCCCAG
The sequence is a transfer RNA, 72 nucleotides long. It matches the Rfam family "tRNA". From Rfam's summary of the family: Transfer RNA (tRNA) molecules are approximately 80 nucleotides in length. Their secondary structure includes four short double-helical elements and three loops (D, anti-codon, and T loops). The record is from Rfam.